Molecule: ribosomal RNA, 393 nt
Filed under: uncultured bacterium
Lineage: Bacteria
Description: partial 16S ribosomal RNA
Rfam family: Bacterial small subunit ribosomal RNA
Source: RNAcentral
AUACGGAGGAUGCGAGCGUUAUCCGGAUUUAUUGGGUUUAAAGGGAGCGUAGGUGGGAUAUUAAGUCAGCUGUGAAAGUUUGGGGCUCAACCUUAAAAUUGCAGUUGAUACUGGUUUCCUUGAGUACGGUACAGAUGGGCGGAAUUCGUGGUGUAGCGGUGAAAUGCUUAGAUAUCACGAAGAACUCCGAUCGCGAAGGCAGCUCACCGGGCCGGAACUGACACUGAUGCUCGAGAGUGCGGGUAUCAAACAGGAUUAGAUACCCUGGUAGUCCGCACAGUAAACGAUGAAUACUCGCUGUUUGCGAUACACGGUAAGCGGCCAAGCGAAAGCGUUAAGUAUUCCACCUGGGGAGUACGCCGGCAACGGUGAAACUCAAAGGAAUUGACGGGG